RNAcentral lists this long non-coding RNA (512 nucleotides) under Nicotiana benthamiana. RNAcentral describes it as "long non-coding RNA (NBEN_LNC032381)". The record is from RNAcentral. Lineage: Eukaryota; Viridiplantae; Streptophyta; Magnoliopsida; Solanales; Solanaceae.
CUACCCAUUUUAAUACUAUAAAUAGCUCCCUCUUCUGCAUUUUUUUUCCUACCUCUCAAUUCUAGUUAUUCGCUACAUUUCUCUUCAAUUGCAUCAACUAUUAGCUCUGUUGGAUGAUUGAUGAGAUUAGUGAAAGGGGAAUUGAAAGCUCUGGAGUGCAAUCACGGCCGGUGGCUGCGACUACGACUAAGGCUGACAAAAGGUGAUCUGAUCAAAAACUAAGGAGAAAUCAGGCGAGUCGCUUGAAAUUAUCCAUUCUAGGAAAAAGGAACGUAGCCACUAGAAUGGGGUGCAUCCAGUUAUCUUCUCUCAGGUUAUUGACUUUUUUGACUACUUACAAGGGGAUGUGAGUUGGAUGUGUUGGGACAUAUAUAUUAUUAAUCAUGUAUUUGGAUAUAAUAUAUUUUAAUAAUUAUUAUGGUUAAAAGUCUAAGUGGGAGAUUAUUGGAAUAUAUACUAUUAACCAUGAGUUUGGUUUAGAUAUAGUAUUUAUUAUGAAAUAAUUAUUUAUU